This 460-nucleotide ribosomal RNA is filed under the name uncultured bacterium. Its description in RNAcentral is "partial 16S ribosomal RNA". It matches the Rfam family "Bacterial small subunit ribosomal RNA", at positions 338 to 795 of the family's 1533-position model. The record is from RNAcentral.
CCUACGGGAGGCAGCAGUGAGGAAUAUUGGUCAAUGGCCGGAAGGCUGAACCAGCCAUGCCGCGUGAAGGUCAGUGCCCUAUGGGCGUUAAACUUCUUUUGUGCGGGAGCAAUAAUGGUCACGUGUGGCCAGACGAGAGUACCGUACGAAUAAGCAUCGGCUAACUCCGUGCCAGCAGCCGCGGUAAUACGGGGGAUGCAAGCGUUAUCCGGAUUUAUUGGGGUUAAAGGGUGCGUAGGCUGUGAGGUAAGUCAGCGGUGAAAUGCCCCCGCUCAACGGGGUGAAGUGCCAUUGAUACUGCCUUGCUGGAAUGCGGGUGCCGUGGGAGGAAUGUGUGGUGUAGCGGUGAAAUGCAUAGAUAUCACACAGAACACCGAUUGCGAAGGCAUCUCACGAAUCCGCGAUUGACGCUGAUGCACGAAAGCGUGGGUAUCAAACAGGAUUAGAUACCCCUGUAGUC